RNAcentral lists this transfer RNA (63 nucleotides) under Scirtidae sp. GENSP01. RNAcentral describes it as "tRNA-Leu". It matches the Rfam family "tRNA". Rfam says of the family: Transfer RNA (tRNA) molecules are approximately 80 nucleotides in length. Their secondary structure includes four short double-helical elements and three loops (D, anti-codon, and T loops). Lineage: Eukaryota; Metazoa; Arthropoda; Insecta; Coleoptera; Scirtidae. The record is from RNAcentral.
UCUAAUGUGGCAGAUUAGUGCAAUGGAUUUAAGAUCUAUAAAUAAAGCUUCCUUUCUUUAGAA